ACCAAAGAUUAAGCCAUGCAUGUUCUUAAGUAUUAAGCAACUUGUACUGUGAAACUGCGAAUGGCUCAUUAAAUCAGUUAUCGUUUAUUUGAUAGUACCUUACUACAUGGAUACCUGUGGUAAUUCUAGAGCUAAUACAUGCUAAAAACCCCGACUUCAGGAAGGGGUGUAUUUAUUAGAUAAAAAACCAACGCCCUUCGGGGCUCCUUGGUGAAUCAUAAUAACUUAACGAAUCGCAUGGCCUUGCGCCGGCGAUGGUUCAUUCAAAUUUCUGCCCUAUCAACUUUCGAUGGUAGGAUAGUGGCCUACCAUGGUGGCAACGGGUAACGGGGAAUUAGGGUUCGAUUCCGGAGAGGGAGCCUGAGAAACGGCUACCACAUCCAAGGAAGGCAGCAGGCGCGCAAAUUACCCAAUCCCGAUACGGGGAGGUAGUGACAAUAAAUACUGAUACGGGGCUCUUUUGGGUCUCGUAAUUGGAAUGAGAACAAUUUAAAUCCCUUAACGAGGAACAAUUGGAGGGCAAGUCUGGUGCCAGCAGCCGCGGUAAUUCCAGCUCCAAUAGCGUAUAUUAAAGUUGUUGCAGUUAAAAAGCUCGUAGUUGAACCUUGGGUCUGGCUGGCCGGUCCGCCUCACCGCGAGUACUGGUCCGGCUGGACCUUUCCUUCUGGGGAACCUCAUGGCCUUCACUGGCUGUGGGGGGAACCAGGACUUUUACUGUGAAAAAAUUAGAGUGUUCAAAGCAGGCCUUUGCUCGAAUACAUUAGCAUGGAAUAAUAGAAUAGGACGUGUGGUUCUAUUUUGUUGGUUUCUAGGACCGCCGUAAUGAUUAAUAGGGAUAGUCGGGGGCGUCAGUAUUCAGCUGUCAGAGGUGAAAUUCUUGGAUUUGCUGAAGACUAACUACUGCGAAAGCAUUCGCCAAGGAUGUUUUCAUUAAUCAGGGAACGAAAGUUAGGGGAUCGAAGACGAUCAGAUACCGUCGUAGUCUUAACCAUAAACUAUGCCGACUAGGGAUCGGACGGGAUUCUAUAAUGACCCGUUCGGCACCUUACGAGAAAUCAAAGUUGGUAGUCAGAUGCGAGUUAUCGGUG
RNAcentral lists this ribosomal RNA (1088 nucleotides) under Penicillium commune. RNAcentral's name for it is "SSU rRNA". It matches the Rfam family "Eukaryotic small subunit ribosomal RNA", at positions 36 to 1116 of the family's 1831-position model. The record is from RNAcentral. Lineage: Eukaryota; Fungi; Ascomycota; Eurotiomycetes; Eurotiales; Aspergillaceae.